Xenopus laevis (African clawed frog) is the source of this 434-nucleotide long non-coding RNA. RefSeq lists it as uncharacterized. The transcript is spliced from 2 exons. NCBI's taxonomy places the organism in Eukaryota, Metazoa, Chordata, Amphibia, Anura, Pipidae. The record is from RefSeq and is a predicted model, not a curated record.
CCAUCUUACUGUCCCACAGCUGUCCGGCGUGUUCUUCUCAACUGUGGGAUUCCAGAGACUGCGACAUGGAAAGGGAGAAUUAUAUUGAGAGAAAAGGGGCAUGGCGUGUACUGAAUGUAUAUCCGGCAUGGAUCCAGACAGCUAGCUAUGGCACUGAGCUGAAAUGAAAAAUGAGCUGAAUCUAUCACCCGCAUGUAUUACAUUCCCCCAUACUAAAGACUGCUGAAAAUAGAUUUUAGUAGAAUGUUCUCUUGCUUUAACAACAACCUCCUUUUCUUCUUAUUUGUGUAUCCAUCCCCUGUAUUAAAGAAUCUCUGUAUUACAGAAUAUACCAACAAAACUGUGAUGUUGUAUGUACUGACUGUUUUUAUCCUGCAAUAAACCCCAGGUACAGCUCUCAUUUAUUAUGCAUAUUAAUAAAACAUUGUGAACAA